This 344-nucleotide unclassified non-coding RNA is filed under the name soil metagenome. RNAcentral describes it as "partial contains 5.8S ribosomal RNA, internal transcribed spacer 2, and large subunit ribosomal RNA". The stretch from base 1 to 120 matches the Rfam family "5.8S ribosomal RNA", at positions 35 to 154 of the family's 154-position model. The record is from RNAcentral.
GAUGAAGAACGCAGCGAAAUGCGAUACGUAAUGUGAAUUGCAGAAUUCAGUGAAUCAUCGAGUCUUUGAACGCACAUUGCGCCCCCUGGUAUUCCGGGGGGCAUGCCUGUCCGAGCGUCAUUGCUGCCCUCAAGCACGGCUUGUGUGUUGGGCCUCCGUCCUCCUCCCGGGGGACGGGCCCGAAAGGCAGCGGCGGCACCGCGUCCGGUCCUCGAGCGUAUGGGGCUUCGUCACCCGCUCUUGUAGGCCCGGCCGGCGCUUGCCGACACAUCAAUCUUUUUUCCAGGUUGACCUCGGAUCAGGUAGGGAUACCCGCUGAACUUAAGCAUAUCAAUAAGCGAGGA